UACGGGGGGGGCAAGCGUUGUUCGGAAUUACUGGGCGUAAAGGGCUCGUAGGCGGCCAACUAAGUCAGACGUGAAAUCCCCCGGCUUAACCAGGGAACUGCGUCUGAUACUGGAUGGCUUGAGUUUGGGAGAGGGAUGCGGAAUUCCAGGUGUAGCGGUGAAAUGCGUAGAUAUCAGGAAGAACACCCGUGGCGAAGGCGGCUCUCUGGGACGGUACUGACGCUGAGACGCGAAAGCGUGGGGAGCAAACAGG
RNAcentral lists this ribosomal RNA (253 nucleotides) under uncultured bacterium. RNAcentral's name for it is "partial 16S ribosomal RNA". It matches the Rfam family "Bacterial small subunit ribosomal RNA", at positions 524 to 776 of the family's 1533-position model. The record is from RNAcentral.